UAAGAAGUGCUGGUUCUUGACUAGGCCU
RNAcentral lists this non-coding RNA (28 nucleotides) under Homo sapiens (human). The record is from RNAcentral. Lineage: Eukaryota; Metazoa; Chordata; Mammalia; Primates; Hominidae.